Molecule: ribosomal RNA, 253 nt
Filed under: uncultured bacterium
Lineage: Bacteria
Description: partial 16S ribosomal RNA
Rfam family: Bacterial small subunit ribosomal RNA
Source: RNAcentral
UACAGAGGUGGCAAGCGUUGUUCGGAAUUACUGGGCGUAAAGGGCGCGUAGGCGGCCAUCUAAGUCAGACGUGAAAUCCCCAGGCUCAACCUGGGAACUGCGUCCGAUACUGGCAGGCUUGAAUCCGGGAGAGGGAUGUGGAAUUCCAGGUGUAGCGGUGAAAUGCGUAGAUAUCUGGAGGAAUACCGGUGGCGAAGGCGGCAUCCUGGACCAUUACUGACGCUUAAGCGCGAAAGCUAGGGGAGCAAACGGG